RNAcentral lists this transfer RNA (71 nucleotides) under uncultured archaeon. RNAcentral describes it as "tRNA-Gly(ccc)". It matches the Rfam family "tRNA". From Rfam's summary of the family: Transfer RNA (tRNA) molecules are approximately 80 nucleotides in length. The record is from RNAcentral.
GCGCUCGUAGUCUAGUGGUAGGAUUUGAGCUUCCCAAGCUUAAGACCCGGGUUCAAACCCCGGCGGGCGCA